Molecule: transfer RNA, 75 nt
Filed under: Candidatus Bathyarchaeota archaeon
Lineage: Archaea; Thermoproteati; Candidatus Bathyarchaeota
Also listed under: 1 other name
Description: tRNA-Val
Rfam family: tRNA
About the family: Transfer RNA (tRNA) molecules are approximately 80 nucleotides in length. Their secondary structure includes four short double-helical elements and three loops (D, anti-codon, and T loops).
Source: RNAcentral
GGGGCCGUGGUCUAGUGGUAGGACGCCCGGCUCACAACCGGGAGGUCGGCGGUUCGAUUCCGCCCGGCCCCACCA